Fundulus heteroclitus (mummichog) is the source of this 962-nucleotide long non-coding RNA. RefSeq lists it as uncharacterized. The transcript is spliced from 6 exons. Lineage: Eukaryota; Metazoa; Chordata; Actinopteri; Cyprinodontiformes; Fundulidae. The record is from RefSeq and is a predicted model, not a curated record.
AUGAGGCUGACUGCAGCCUGCACCUCCUCUAAAAGCAGCAGUGAGUCUGAGCAGCAGCAAGAGAGGAUGCAUUUUACCACAGAGCUGUUAACCAGUUUAAAGACCUGUAGCUUUUUUAAACAGUAGUUUGUGUUUGUUAUGCUUACUCAUGUAAAAUUUUAGCAGUGGCAUUAUCAGCUGCAGCACUGUGCCACUUUUGAAAGCAUAUAGAGUAAACACUAAAAGAUCACACAGGACAAAUUAUUCUUCAAAAGUCUUGUGCUGUUCCCAAGUGUUGAUUCUGUUAUGUUAUAUGUUAUAUAUAAGUUUCUCCUUGUCUCAUCUCCUUGCCUCCUUUCCUCUUCCACUCUUUCAUCUAGAUAGGAGAUUUGAACCACCAAAAGUCUCGGCAGCUCAAGGUGGAUUUACCCCCAGAGGAGACGACCACUACCACCAUUAACAUAAACCAGCUGAUAGACAUGGACCUGCUCAUUUCGAAGAAUAAGAAGCGUGAGGGCCAAACCCUCCCUGAAAAGUCAAAAGAUCAGGAGGAUGGAGAGGAGACAGACGAGCCAGAGGAGGAAAUGGACCAGUGCCCUUCAGACCCAGAUGUUCCUCCACUGAAGAGAACUGAGAGUGUCUUUGUCUAAGACCAGUGAAAAUGACUAGACCCGUUCACAGGACACCUACAGAGGAGGACCAGGAGUCUGAUGCUUCAUCACAGCUAACCAGAGGUAGAUCAAGGAACUGGACAGAGGAGGACCAUGACUCUGAUACCUCAUCACAGCCAUUGAAUCACUGUUUUCAAGAUGAGUCAAGACCUGUGAAGAAGAUGAAACCCACCAAGAGGACACCUAGAGAGGAGGACCCUGAGUCUGGUACCUCAUCACAGCCAAGAAAAGACGAGUCAAGACGUGUGAAGAAGAUGAAACCCACCAAGAGGACAUCUAGAGAGGAGGACCCUGAGUCUGAUACCUCAUCAC